This 1020-nucleotide unclassified non-coding RNA is filed under the name Cosmarium sp. HYU-G001. RNAcentral's name for it is "partial contains 18S rRNA, ITS1, 5.8S rRNA and ITS2". The stretch from base 554 to 707 matches the Rfam family "5.8S ribosomal RNA". Lineage: Eukaryota; Viridiplantae; Streptophyta; Zygnematophyceae; Desmidiales; Desmidiaceae. The record is from RNAcentral.
CCUACUGCAUUGCACAACCCGCAGCCAAACCCUGAUUUCCAGGGCGCUGUCCACAGACUAGAUGAUGACGGGUUCCAGUUCUCUGGGGCUCAAGAUAUAGUCGGGCCUGCUUUCGAGCGGGAGCAUACUUUCGCAAGAGCAUUCACCGUUCCGUAGGUGAACCUGCGGAAGGAUCAUUGACACACAUCCAUGUGAUGACUCUGUCAUCAUGCUAACCCGUGAACCCACUCUUGUACUUUUGAGGGGCCACAUCGGAAGGUGUGGCUAGCUCGGCCUGGCAGCUUUCCCCUUGCAUUGUGAGGGGUGCCAGUGACGAGUUUGCUUUGACGGGCAAUGUCUCCUCCCCUCUCCCAAGGCUGCUACUUGUAGCAGCCCACGGAGAGGGACCGGGGGCCGUCAAAUCUCCUCCCCUUGGGUCUCGAGUCUGCUCUAGGGCAGGCUCGGGACUGGAGGGCUACCUCGAACCACAUUAUGCAACCCUUUUCAAACCACAAUCUCUGAGCGAGAUGAAAACCGUGGCCUUCGUGGCCCGAGCUUUCUACCUAACUUGAACAACUCUCAACAACGGAUAUCUUGGCUCUCGCAACGAUGAAGAACGCAGCGAAAUGCGAUACGUAGUGUGAAUUGCAGAAUUCCGUGAAUCAUCGAAUGUUUGAACGCAAAUUGCGCCCGAGGCUUCGGUCGAGGGCAUGUCUGCUUGAGCGCCGCUGGACCCCGUCGCCCCUUCACUCUGUGAGGGCGGAAUGUGGCCGCCUCGAUAUGUAGUGCUGUCUGUCAAGAGGCUCCCGAGCUCUCUUGUCAAACACACUUUCGAGCCGGCUGGAAAACAGGAGUGCGCGUGGGUAUUCCCCGGCGUGGACGACGCUUCCGUGUCGGACUGCCAAAGCUGGAGAAUGCCUAUCGCGCCUCUGUUGCAGUCGUGCACUGGAAAGGCUACGGCCAAUCCUUUAUCCCCUUGGCCUCAAGUCAGGCAGGAGCACCCGCUGAAUUUAAGCAUAUUACUAAGCGGAGGAAAAGAAA